CCUACGGGAGGCAGCAGUGAGGAAUCUUGGUCAAUGGCCGUAAGGCUGAACCAGCCAAGUAGCGUGAGGGAAGACUGCCCUAUGGGUUGUAAACCUCUUUUAUGCGGGGAUAAAGGUGUCCACGUGUGGAUGUUUCCAGGUACCGCAUGAAUAAGGACCGGCUAAUUCCGUGCCAGCAGCCGCGGUAAUACGGAGGGUCCGGGCGUUGUCCGGAUUUAUUGGGUUUAAAGGGAGCGUAGGCCGGUCUUUAAGCGUGCCGUGAAAUUUUGUGGCUCAACCAUGGGGGUGCGGCGGGAACUGGAGGCCUUGAGUGCGCAGAAGGCAAGCGGAAUUCGUGGUGUAGCGGUGAAAUGCUUAGAUAUCACGAAGAACCCCAAUGGCGAAGGCAGCCUGCCGCAGCGUUACUGACGCUGAAGCUCGAAAGCGCGGGUAGCGAACAGGAUUAGAUACCCGAGUAGUC
Molecule: ribosomal RNA, 460 nt
Filed under: uncultured bacterium
Lineage: Bacteria
Description: partial 16S ribosomal RNA
Rfam family: Bacterial small subunit ribosomal RNA
Source: RNAcentral